AGUUGCUAUUAGCAACAACAAUGCUAAACAUGCUUUAAGAAGAGCUUUAUGCAUAUUGAUUGAUUAAAUUGUUCAGUGAAAUUUCCUAUUUAUGAUGUUUAUACUUAGGGAUAUGUACAUUACAAGUAUCAUACCAUGACAGCAAUAAGAACAUGAUAGUCAUGAAUAUUUGAGAAGCUGAGUUACUCUACUUGUUUAACUAGCAUACUCUUAAUGGUAAUUUUGUUACCUUCUUUGCACUUACUAUGCUUCAUUUCUUUGCCAGAACAACUCCGCUAAUUCUUUUUUAUGUUUUCUC
Molecule: unclassified non-coding RNA, 298 nt
Filed under: Hevea brasiliensis (rubber tree)
Lineage: Eukaryota; Viridiplantae; Streptophyta; Magnoliopsida; Malpighiales; Euphorbiaceae
Source: RNAcentral